This 320-nucleotide long non-coding RNA is filed under the name Urocitellus parryii (Arctic ground squirrel). RNAcentral's name for it is "lncRNA (ENSUPAG00010017868.1)". Lineage: Eukaryota; Metazoa; Chordata; Mammalia; Rodentia; Sciuridae. The record is from RNAcentral.
CAGGGCUGUCUUAGAGAAAUGACCAUGAGAAAACAGUGCAUCAGAAAGCUGUAGAUCAGCUGUCCUGGUAACUAGUUUCCUGAGGAGCUAUGGGAGGUUGAGUCCUACAAGCAAGAGGCAAGACACAAAUAUCAAGUCCUUUCCCCAUGAAGAUGCAUCUGUCCCAGAGUUAAAAAAGCACCUGGAUCCAGAGCYUUUGAAUAGCUGAAUUUGAAGAAUACAGUCUCCUUUUCUCUGGCUACCUUUGGUUUCCAGGGUCUCCACAGGCUGGUUUGAUGGAAAGAUCUGGCAUUAGAACCAACAAUUACUUUAAUGAAAAG